AAAAGAAGAUGAUGAAUUAAAAGCAUUUUGAAAAUGACACACUUCCGCCCGUCAGUUGGUGGCGCUAUGACUUUGACUCCUAAUAGUCACAUGUAUGCGAUCGGCAUCAUACACCGAAAAAAAAAACGGAAGUUUGAUCAAAAUCAGACAAUGUAUGUGCAACAGUCAUUAG
This is a long non-coding RNA of Sinocyclocheilus grahami, 172 nucleotides long. RefSeq lists it as uncharacterized. The transcript is spliced from 3 exons. The record is from RefSeq and is a predicted model, not a curated record. Lineage: Eukaryota; Metazoa; Chordata; Actinopteri; Cypriniformes; Cyprinidae.